Molecule: long non-coding RNA, 396 nt
Organism: Lynx canadensis (Canada lynx)
Lineage: Eukaryota; Metazoa; Chordata; Mammalia; Carnivora; Felidae
Exons: 2
Source: RefSeq, a predicted model, not a curated record
ACCUGCGUCGUGAGCAAAGGUACGUCACUCCGUGGCACGGGAAUCACGUGACUAAAACAACUCAUCUUAGUAAAACACAGGCAGAUGGGUGGUUGACGGCGUAGUUUUCGUAAACCUUUACAAGGGCUUCGCCUUCGUCCACUGUAGGCAGGGGUUAUCGUGUUCUCCUGGGAGGCCUUGCUUCUAAACUUCCUUGUGGCUACAAAACGCCGCAAAAUUGGCCUGCAGUCUGUGAGGAUGGAGUGUUUUCAGGGUGGAGGGGAAGUACUCGCAUACGACGUGAGACCGCGUGGACGGGAACAGAGAAGGCGUGCGUGGACCGACAGUUAUUCCGCUUCAGGGAGGGACUAUCUGUGAUGUUAAGUGUUCUCAUUAAAUUUUAAGUUUUUCAUAUUG